GUGACAUCACAUAUACGGCGGC
This 22-nucleotide microRNA is filed under the name Canis lupus familiaris (dog). RNAcentral describes it as "cfa-miR-489". Its record names the gene cfa-miR-489. Lineage: Eukaryota; Metazoa; Chordata; Mammalia; Carnivora; Canidae. The record is from miRBase by way of RNAcentral. RNAcentral also lists the same sequence under 1 other name.